AACGCUAGCUACAGGCUUAACACAUGCAAGUCGAGGGGCAGCAUGAUUGAAGCUUGCUUCAAUUGAUGGCGACCGGCGCACGGGUGAGUAACACGUAUCCAACCUACCGUUUACACAUGGAUAGCCUUUCGAAAGAAAGAUUAAUACAUGAUGGUUUAUGUGAACCGCAUGGUUUAUAUAAUAAAGAUUAAUCGGUAAACGCUGGGGAUGCGUUCCAUUAGAUAGUAGGCGGGGUAACGGCCCACCUAGUCGACGAUGGAUAGGGGUUCUGAGAGGAAGGUCCCCCACAUUGGAACUGAGACACGGUCCAAACUCCUACGGGAGGCAGCAGUGAGGAAUAUUGGUCAAUGGACGAGAGUCUGAACCAGCCAAGUAGCGUGAAGGAUGACUGCCCUACGGGUUGUAAACUUCUUUUAUAAGGGAAUAAAGUGUGCCACGUGUGGUGCUUUGCAUGUACCUUAUGAAUAAGCAUCGGCUAACUCCGUGCCAGCAGCCGCGGUAAUACGGAGGAUGCGAGCGUUAUCCGGAUUUAUUGGGUUUAAAGGGAGCGUAGACGGAUGAUUAAGUCAGCUGUGAAAAUCUGCGGCUCAACCGUAGUCGUGCAGUUGAUACUGGUCACCUUGAGUGCGUUUGAGGCAGGCGGAAUUCGUGGUGUAGCGGUGAAAUGCUUAGAUAUCACGAAGAACUCCGAUUG
RNAcentral lists this ribosomal RNA (694 nucleotides) under uncultured Bacteroides sp. RNAcentral describes it as "bacterial SSU rRNA". It matches the Rfam family "Bacterial small subunit ribosomal RNA", at positions 32 to 715 of the family's 1533-position model. Lineage: Bacteria; Pseudomonadati; Bacteroidota; Bacteroidia; Bacteroidales; Bacteroidaceae. The record is from RNAcentral.